UUAAGCGACUAAGCGUACACGGUGGAUGCCCUGGCAGUCAGAGGCGAUGAAGGACGUGCUAAUCUGCGAUAAGCGUCGGUAAGGUGAUAUGAACCGUUAUAACCGGCGAUUUCCGAAUGGGGAAACCCAGUGUGUUUCGACACACUAUCAUUAACUGAAUCCAUAGGUUAAUGAGGCGAACCGGGGGAACUGAAACAUCUAAGUACCCCGAGGAAAAGAAAUCAACCGAGAUUCCCCCAGUAGCGGCGAGCGAACGGGGAGCAGCCCAGAGCCUGAAUCAGUGUGUGUGUUAGUGGAAGCGUCUGGAAAGGCGCGCGAUACAGGGUGACAGCCCCGUACACAAAAAUGCACAUGCUGUGAGCUCGAUGAGUAGGGCGGGACACGUGGUAUCCUGUCUGAAUAUGGGGGGACCAUCCUCCAAGGCUAAAUACUCCUGACUGACCGAUAGUGAACCAGUACCGUGAGGGAAAGGCGAAAAGAACCCCGGCGAGGGGAGUGAAAAAGAACCUGAAACCGUGUACGUACAAGCAGUGGGAGCACGCUUAGGCGUGUGACUGCGUACCUUUUGUAUAAUGGGUCAGCGACUUAUAUUCUGUAGCAAGGUUAACCGAAUAGGGGAGCCGAAGGGAAACCGAGUCUUAACUGGGCGUUAAGUUGCAGGGUAUAGACCCGAAACCCGGUGAUCUAGCCAUGGGCAGGUUGAAGGUUGGGUAACACUAACUGGAGGACCGAACCGACUAAUGUUGAAAAAUUAGCGGAUGACUUGUGGCUGGGGGUGAAAGGCCAAUCAAACCGGGAGAUAGCUGGUUCUCCCCGAAAGCUAUUUAGGUAGCGCCUCGUGAAUUCAUCUCCGGGGGUAGAGCACUGUUUCGGCAAGGGGGUCAUCCCGACUUACCAACCCGAUGCAAACUGCGAAUACCGGAGAAUGUUAUCACGGGAGACACACGGCGGGUGCUAACGUCCGUCGUGAAGAGGGAAACAACCCAGACCGCCAGCUAAGGUCCCAAAGUCAUGGUUAAGUGGGAAACGAUGUGGGAAGGCCCAGACAGCCAGGAUGUUGGCUUAGAAGCAGCCAUCAUUUAAAGAAAGCGUAAUAGCUCACUGGUCGAGUCGGCCUGCGCGGAAGAUGUAACGGGGCUAAACCAUGCACCGAAGCUGCGGCAGCGACGCUGAUGCGUUGUUGGGUAGGGGAGCGUUCUGUAAGCCUGCGAAGGUGUGCUGUGAGGCAUGCUGGAGGUAUCAGAAGUGCGAAUGCUGACAUAAGUAACGAUAAAGCGGGUGAAAAGCCCGCUCGCCGGAAGACCAAGGGUUCCUGUCCAACGUUAAUCGGGGCAGGGUGAGUCGACCCCUAAGGCGAGGCCGAAAGGCGUAGUCGAUGGGAAACAGGUUAAUAUUCCUGUACUUGGUGUUACUGCGAAGGGGGGACGGAGAAGGCUAUGUUGGCCGGGCGACGGUUGUCCCGGUUUAAGCGUGUAGGCUGGUUUUCCAGGCAAAUCCGGAAAAUCAAGGCUGAGGCGUGAUGACGAGGCACUACGGUGCUGAAGCAACAAAUGCCCUGCUUCCAGGAAAAGCCUCUAAGCAUCAGGUAACAUCAAAUCGUACCCCAAACCGACACAGGUGGUCAGGUAGAGAAUACCAAGGCGCUUGAGAGAACUCGGGUGAAGGAACUAGGCAAAAUGGUGCCGUAACUUCGGGAGAAGGCACGCUGAUAUGUAGGUGAAGUCCCUUGCGGAUGGAGCUGAAAUCAGUCGAAGAUACCAGCUGGCUGCAACUGUUUAUUAAAAACACAGCACUGUGCAAACACGAAAGUGGACGUAUACGGUGUGACGCCUGCCCGGUGCCGGAAGGUUAAUUGAUGGGGUUAGCGCAAGCGAAGCUCUUGAUCGAAGCCCCGGUAAACGGCGGCCGUAACUAUAACGGUCCUAAGGUAGCGAAAUUCCUUGUCGGGUAAGUUCCGACCUGCACGAAUGGCGUAAUGAUGGCCAGGCUGUCUCCACCCGAGACUCAGUGAAAUUGAACUCGCUGUGAAGAUGCAGUGUACCCGCGGCAAGACGGAAAGACCCCGUGAACCUUUACUAUAGCUUGACACUGAACAUUGAGCCUUGAUGUGUAGGAUAGGUGGGAGGCUUAGAAGUGUGGACGCCAGUCUGCAUGGAGCCGACCUUGAAAUACCACCCUUUAAUGUUUGAUGUUCUAACGUUGACCCGUAAUCCGGGUUGCGGACAGUGUCUGGUGGGUAGUUUGACUGGGGCGGUCUCCUCCUAAAGAGUAACGGAGGAGCACGAAGGUUGGCUAAUCCUGGUCGGACAUCAGGAGGUUAGUGCAAUGGCAUAAGCCAGCUUGACUGCGAGCGUGACGGCGCGAGCAGGUGCGAAAGCAGGUCAUAGUGAUCCGGUGGUUCUGAAUGGAAGGGCCAUCGCUCAACGGAUAAAAGGUACUCCGGGGAUAACAGGCUGAUACCGCCCAAGAGUUCAUAUCGACGGCGGUGUUUGGCACCUCGAUGUCGGCUCAUCACAUCCUGGGGCUGAAGUAGGUCCCAAGGGUAUGGCUGUUCGCCAUUUAAAGUGGUACGCGAGCUGGGUUUAGAACGUCGUGAGACAGUUCGGUCCCUAUCUGCCGUGGGCGCUGGAGAACUGAGGGGGGCUGCUCCUAGUACGAGAGGACCGGAGUGGACGCAUCACUGGUGUUCGGGUUGUCAUGCCAAUGGCACUGCCCGGUAGCUAAAUGCGGAAGAGAUAAGUGCUGAAAGCAUCUAAGCACGAAACUUGCCCCGAGAUGAGUUCUCCCUGACCCUUUAAGGGUCCUGAAGGAACGUUGAAGACGACGACGUUGAUAGGCCGGGUGUGUAAGCGCAGCGAUGCGUUGAGCUAACCGGUACUAAUGAACCGUGAGGCUUAACCUU
RNAcentral lists this ribosomal RNA (2902 nucleotides) under Escherichia coli. Its description in RNAcentral is "bacterial LSU rRNA". It matches the Rfam family "Bacterial large subunit ribosomal RNA". The record is from RNAcentral. RNAcentral also lists the same sequence under 1 other name. Lineage: Bacteria; Pseudomonadati; Pseudomonadota; Gammaproteobacteria; Enterobacterales; Enterobacteriaceae.